RNAcentral lists this ribosomal RNA (497 nucleotides) under uncultured bacterium. RNAcentral describes it as "partial 16S ribosomal RNA". It matches the Rfam family "Bacterial small subunit ribosomal RNA", at positions 28 to 507 of the family's 1533-position model. The record is from RNAcentral.
GAUGAACGCUGGCGGCGUGCCUAAUACAUGCAAGUCGAGCGAACAGAUGAGGAGCUUGCUCCUCUGACGUUAGCGGCGGACGGGUGAGUAACACGUGGAAAACCUACCUAUAAGACUGGGAUAACUUCGGGAAACCGGAGCUAAUACCGGAUAAUAUAUUGAACCGCAUGGUUCAAUAGUGAAAGACGGUUUUGCUGUCACUUAUAGAUGGACCCGCGCCGCAUUAGCUAGUUGGUAAGGUAACGGCUUACCAAGGCAACGAUGCGUAGCCGACCUGAGAGGGUGAUCGGCCACACUGGAACUGAGACACGGUCCAGACUCCUACGGGAGGCAGCAGUAGGGAAUCUUCCGCAAUGGGCGAAAGCCUGACGGAGCAACGCCGCGUGAGUGAUGAAGGUCUUCGGAUCGUAAAACUCUGUUAUUAGGGAAGAACAAAUGUGUAAGUAACUAUGCACGUCUUGACGGUACCUAAUCAGAAAGCCACGGCUAACUACGUG